AACGAACGCUGGCGGCAUGCCUAACACAUGCAAGUCGAACGAGACCUUCGGGUCUAGUGGCGCACGGGUGCGUAACGCGUGGGAAUCUGCCCUUGGGUUCGGAAUAACAGUGAGAAAUUACUGCUAAUACCGGAUGAUGUCUUCGGACCAAAGAUUUAUCGCCCAGGGAUGAGCCCGCGUAGGAUUAGCUAGUUGGUGGGGUAAUGGCCUACCAAGGCGACGAUCCUUAGCUGGUCUGAGAGGAUGAUCAGCCACACUGGGACUGAGACACGGCCCAGACUCCUACGGGAGGCAGCAGUGGGGAAUAUUGGACAAUGGGCGCAAGCCUGAUCCAGCAAUGCCGCGUGAGUGAUGAAGGCCUUAGGGUUGUAAAGCUCUUUUACCCGGGAUGAUAAUGACAGUACCGGGAGAAUAAGCUCCGGCUAACUCCGUG
RNAcentral lists this ribosomal RNA (433 nucleotides) under uncultured bacterium. RNAcentral describes it as "partial 16S ribosomal RNA". It matches the Rfam family "Bacterial small subunit ribosomal RNA", at positions 29 to 507 of the family's 1533-position model. The record is from RNAcentral.